Molecule: non-coding RNA, 318 nt
Organism: Pelobates cultripes (western spadefoot toad)
Lineage: Eukaryota; Metazoa; Chordata; Amphibia; Anura; Pelobatidae
Source: the annotation of a GenBank genome assembly
UGACACCAGAUCUAAUUAGUGGCACUGGUCAGCGUAUCCACUGUUAGCGUAACACACCCGCUUUAAGGACACUGACUGCUAUUCAAUCUAUAACAGUGAAAAAAGUGUUUUGUUUUUUUAAAUCCAAGCUUUGUGUCACCAGAUCUAAUUGGUGGCACUUGUCAGCGUAUCCACUGUUAGCGUAACACACCCGCUUUAAGGACACUGACUGCUAUUCAAUCUAUAACAGUAAAAAAAGUUUUUUGUUUUUAAAUCCAAGCUAUUGUGACACAGGAUCUAAUUAGUGGCACUUGUCAGCGUAUCCACUGUUAGCGUAAC